UACUGAUUCAGCUAGUUCCAUGUUCUAAAAAUUGGGCGCCUAGGCGUGGUUCUUCCGCCCCGAUUUAUGCCAAAUCGGUUUAAAAAUCGCGCUAGGUCCAACCCCACCGCCUGACUAGCGCCUCGCGCGUUCCCGAACAUUGGCUGUAACAAUCAAGCUUCUGAUACAUUUGCUUCGCAUGUUCCUUUGAAUACCAAUCCAAUGCUUCGUUCCACUGUGCAGAGAGGAAAACAGG
This is a long non-coding RNA of Raphanus sativus (radish), 235 nucleotides long. RefSeq lists it as uncharacterized. Lineage: Eukaryota; Viridiplantae; Streptophyta; Magnoliopsida; Brassicales; Brassicaceae. The record is from RefSeq and is a predicted model, not a curated record. The transcript has 2 exons.